RNAcentral lists this ribosomal RNA (253 nucleotides) under uncultured bacterium. RNAcentral describes it as "partial 16S ribosomal RNA". It matches the Rfam family "Bacterial small subunit ribosomal RNA", at positions 524 to 776 of the family's 1533-position model. The record is from RNAcentral.
UACGAAGGGAGCUAGCGUUGUUCGGAAUUACUGGGCGUAAAGAGCGCGUAGGCGGUUUGUAAAGUUGGGAGUGAAAGCCCAGGGCUUAACCCUGGAAAUGCUCUCAAAACUCACAAACUAGAGAUUGGUAGAGGGUCGUGGAAUUCCAGGUGUAGCGGUGAAAUGCGUAGAUAUCUGGAGGAACACCGGUGGCGAAGGCGGCGUUCUGGACUGCAACUGACACUGAGGAACGAAAGCCAGGGGAGCAAACGGG